This 199-nucleotide unclassified non-coding RNA is filed under the name rhizosphere metagenome. RNAcentral's name for it is "partial ribosomal RNA internal transcribed spacer region". The record is from RNAcentral.
GAAUGAAUGUAGAGUCGGUUGUCGCUGGUCCUUUCGGGGACAUGUGCACGCCUUCUCUUACAUCCACACACACCUGUGCACUCGUGAGAAGGAAGCCCUCGGGCGUCCGUCUGCUCUACAUAAACUCAUAUCUAUAAUUUGAAUGUAAUCGAUGUAACACAUCUUUAAACUAAGUUUCAACAACGGAUCUCUUGGCUCU